Molecule: ribosomal RNA, 424 nt
Filed under: uncultured bacterium
Lineage: Bacteria
Description: partial 16S ribosomal RNA
Rfam family: Bacterial small subunit ribosomal RNA
Source: RNAcentral
AAUAGUAGACGUAGGGCGAAAGCCUGAUCCAGCCUUGCCGCGUUUGUGAAGAGAGGCAUCGCACUGUCAAUCACUUUCUGUAGGGCGGCAAGGUAUUAGGUUAAUACCCAGCACUUUUGACGUUACCAACAGAAGAAGCUCCUGCAAUCUUCGUGCCAGCAGCCGCGGUAAUACGAAUGGUGCAAGCGUUAAUCGGAAUUACUGGGAGUAAAGCGCGCGUAGGUGGUUCGUUAAGUUGGAAGUGAAAGCCCCGGGCUUAACCUGGGAAUUGCUUUCAAAACUGGCAAGCUAGAGUAUGGCAGAGGGUGGUGGAAUUUCCUGUGUAGCGGUGAAAUGCGUAGAUAUAGGAAGGAACAUCAGUGGCGAAGGCGACCACCUGGGCUAAUACUGACACUGAGGUGCGAAAGCGUGGGGAGCAAACAGG